This is a long non-coding RNA of Herpailurus yagouaroundi (jaguarundi), 103 nucleotides long. RefSeq lists it as uncharacterized. The transcript is spliced from 4 exons. The record is from RefSeq and is a predicted model, not a curated record. NCBI's taxonomy places the organism in Eukaryota, Metazoa, Chordata, Mammalia, Carnivora, Felidae.
AGAAAGCGUUCAAGCUCAACAAUGAAAACAUCUUAAUGUCAAAAAUAUGCAACCAACUGCUAACUUAAUACCGGAGAUCGCAAGAGCCUUCGUGAAGGGAAAG